This 253-nucleotide ribosomal RNA is filed under the name uncultured bacterium. Its description in RNAcentral is "partial 16S ribosomal RNA". It matches the Rfam family "Bacterial small subunit ribosomal RNA", at positions 524 to 776 of the family's 1533-position model. The record is from RNAcentral.
UACAGAGGGGGCAAGCGUUAUUCGGAAUUACUGGGCGUAAAGCGCACGUAGGCGGCUUUGUAAGUUAGAGGUGAAAGCCCGGAGCUCAACUCCGGAAUUGCCUUUAAGACUGCAUCGCUAGAAUUGUGGAGAGGUGAGUGGAAUUCCGAGUGUAGAGGUGAAAUUCGUAGAUAUUCGGAAGAACACCAGUGGCGAAGGCGACUCACUGGACACAUAUUGACGCUGAGGUGCGAAAGCGUGGGGAGCAAACAGG